RNAcentral lists this transfer RNA (65 nucleotides) under Barbatia decussata. RNAcentral describes it as "tRNA-Leu". The record is from RNAcentral. Lineage: Eukaryota; Metazoa; Mollusca; Bivalvia; Arcoida; Arcidae.
GUUGAGGUGGCAGAUAAAUGCGUUAGGUUUAAGGCCUAAAGAUGGAUUGAGAGAUUCCCUCAAAA